RNAcentral lists this ribosomal RNA (265 nucleotides) under uncultured archaeon. RNAcentral's name for it is "partial 16S ribosomal RNA". It matches the Rfam family "Archaeal small subunit ribosomal RNA", at positions 714 to 982 of the family's 1478-position model. The record is from RNAcentral.
AGAUGUCUACAUUAGAUACCCCUGUAGUCCCAGCCGUAAACUAUGCGCGUUAGGUGUAUCGGUGACCACGAGUUACCGAGGUGCCGAAGGGAAACCGUGAAACGUGCCGCCUGGGAAGUACGGUCGCAAGGCUGAAACUUAAAGGAAUUGGCGGGGGAACACCACAACAGGUGGAGCCUGCGGUUUAAUUGGACUCAACGCCGGGAAGCUCACCGGAUAGGACAGCAGAAUGAUUGCCGGGCUGAAGACCCUGCAUGACUAGCUG